UACAGAGGAGCCAAGCGUUGUUCGGAAUUACUGGGCGUAAAGGGCGCGCAGGCGGCUGCUCAAGUCAGGCGUGAAAGGCCUGGGCUCAACCCGGGAAUUGCGCUUGAGACUGGGCUGGCUUGAGUGCGGGAGAGGAUGGUGGAAUUCCCAGUGUAGAGGUGAAAUUCGUAGAUAUUGGGAAGAACACCGGUGGCGAAGGCGGCCAUCUGGACCGCAACUGACGCUGAGGCGCGAAAGCGUGGGGAGCAAACAGG
RNAcentral lists this ribosomal RNA (254 nucleotides) under uncultured bacterium. RNAcentral's name for it is "partial 16S ribosomal RNA". It matches the Rfam family "Bacterial small subunit ribosomal RNA", at positions 524 to 776 of the family's 1533-position model. The record is from RNAcentral.